GACGAACGCUGGCGGCGUGCCUAAUACAUGCAAGUCGAACGAAGCGGCGGAUGGGUAAGUAACGCGUGGGUAACCUGCCCUUAAGUGUGGGAAACCAGUUGGAAACAGUUGCUAAGACCGGAUGCUAAAGGAUGGACCUGCGAUGCAUUAGCUAGUUGGGAAGGUAACGGCUUACAAAGGCGAGGAUGCAUAGCCGACUUGAGAGGCUGAUCGGCCACAUUGGGACUGAGACACGGCCCAGACUCCUACGGGAGGCAGCAGUAGGGAAUCUUCCACAAUGGACGAAAGUCUGAUGGAGCAACGCCGCGUGAGUGAAGAAGGUUUUCGGAUCGUAAAGCUCUGUUGUUGGUGAAGCGGUAAUCAACCAGAAAGUCACGGCUAACUACGUGCCAGCAGCCGCGGUAAUUC
RNAcentral lists this ribosomal RNA (408 nucleotides) under uncultured bacterium. Its description in RNAcentral is "partial 16S ribosomal RNA". It matches the Rfam family "Bacterial small subunit ribosomal RNA", at positions 28 to 526 of the family's 1533-position model. The record is from RNAcentral.